UACGUAGGGGGCAAGCGUUGUCCGGAUUUAUUGGGCGUAAAGAGCGUGUAGGCGGCUUUGCAAGUCCGUUGUGAAAACUCGAGGCUCAACCUCGAGACGCCGGUGGAAACUGCAAAGCUAGAGUCCGGAAGAGGAGAGUGGAAUUCCUGGUGUAGCGGUGAAAUGCGCAGAUAUCAGGAAGAACACCCGUGGCGAAGGCGGCUCUCUGGCCCGGUACUGACGCUGAGGUGCGAAAGCGUGGGGAGCAAACAGG
RNAcentral lists this ribosomal RNA (253 nucleotides) under uncultured bacterium. RNAcentral describes it as "partial 16S ribosomal RNA". It matches the Rfam family "Bacterial small subunit ribosomal RNA", at positions 524 to 776 of the family's 1533-position model. The record is from RNAcentral.